Molecule: non-coding RNA, 91 nt
Organism: Tilletiopsis washingtonensis
Lineage: Eukaryota; Fungi; Basidiomycota; Exobasidiomycetes; Entylomatales
Source: the annotation of a RefSeq genome assembly
CCACCUGUGAUCCAGUGGCUAAGAUGUCAGAUUUUGACUUUUGUUGAUUGGUCGAGUUCUGAAUGCCCCGGUUCGAACCCGGGCAGGUGGU